Rosa chinensis is the source of this 288-nucleotide long non-coding RNA. RefSeq lists it as uncharacterized. The record is from RefSeq and is a predicted model, not a curated record. NCBI's taxonomy places the organism in Eukaryota, Viridiplantae, Streptophyta, Magnoliopsida, Rosales, Rosaceae. The transcript has 3 exons.
ACAUUUUCUGGGAAAUGUGGAACUGAUUUUGGGUUUGGUGGUGUAAUAGGAAGAAGGUCUGAGAGAGAACUUCAAUACUUUCCACGGCAAUUUCCAGGGCAAUGAUGAUCCAAAAUGUUCGCAGGGUUCAGAUGAUGAGAAAGGUGAUGAGAGUGGUCAUGCAACCGGGAGUCAGAAUGAGAACCCCAGUGUCAAUCCCAAAUCUUCAGGAAACUCGAAAAAUGCAAAGUUCUCUCGACAUUUAAUUAUUCGCAUUCAGAAGACUGCUUUUAAGGACAACUCACAUGU